AUGCCCAUCUUUGGCUAUAUGGAGUCUUUCAUCAAGGAAAAAAUCAUAAGCAAGGUUUCGGGAAGAAACUCCGCCGCCACGAGGCGGAACCUUGGCGGAGCUGUUCUGCUGGGGAAACUUCCCUCCGGGAGGGGGAAAUCAUCACCAUCGUCAUCACCAACGAUCCUCUCAUCGGGAGGGGGUCAAUCUCCAUCAACAUCUUCACCAGCACCAUCUCAUCUCAAACCUAGUUCAUCUCUUGUAUCCAAUCUUUGUCCCAAAGCCUCAUAUUGGUACCUGUGGGUUGCUAGUAGUGUUGAUUACUCCUUGUAG
This 312-nucleotide ribosomal RNA is filed under the name Triticum aestivum (bread wheat). Its description in RNAcentral is "partial small subunit ribosomal RNA". Lineage: Eukaryota; Viridiplantae; Streptophyta; Magnoliopsida; Poales; Poaceae. The record is from RNAcentral.